RNAcentral lists this ribosomal RNA (1120 nucleotides) under Latilactobacillus sakei. RNAcentral describes it as "bacterial SSU rRNA". It matches the Rfam family "Bacterial small subunit ribosomal RNA", at positions 345 to 1461 of the family's 1533-position model. Lineage: Bacteria; Bacillati; Bacillota; Bacilli; Lactobacillales; Lactobacillaceae. The record is from RNAcentral.
GAGGCAGCAGUAGGGAAUCUUCCACAAUGGACGAAAGUUGGAGGAGCAACGCCGCGUGAGGAAGAAGGUUUCGGAUCGUAAACUCUGUGGUGGAGAAGAAUGUAUCUGAUAGUAACUGAUCAGGUAGUGACGGUAUCCAACCAGAAAGCCACGGCUAACUACGUGCCAGCAGCCGCGGUAAUACGUAGGUGGCAAGCGUUGUCCGGAUUUAUUGGGCGUAAAGCGAGCGCAGGCGGUUUCUUAAGUCUGAUGUGAAAGCCUUCGGCUCAACCGAAGAAGUGCAUCGGAAACUGGGAAACUUGAGUGCAGAAGAGGACAGUGGAACUCCAUGUGUAGCGGUGAAAUGCGUAGAUAUAUGGAAGAACACCAGUGGCGAAGGCGGCUGUCUGGUCUGUAACUGACGCUGAGGCUCGAAAGCAUGGGUAGCAAACAGGAUUAGAUACCCUGGUAGUCCAUGCCGUAAACGAUGAGUGCUAGGUGUUGGAGGGUUUCCGCCCUUCAGUGCCGCAGCUAACGCAUUAAGCACUCCGCCUGGGGAGUACGACCGCAAGGUUGAAACUCAAAGGAAUUGACGGGGGCCCGCACAAGCGGUGGAGCAUGUGGUUUAAUUCGAAGCAACGCGAAGAACCUUACCAGGUCUUGACAUCCUUUGACCACUCUAGAGAUAGAGCUUUCCCUUCGGGGACAAAGUGACAGGUGGUGCAUGGUUGUCGUCAGCUCGUGUCGUGAGAUGUUGGGUUAAGUCCCGCAACGAGCGCAACCCUUAUUACUAGUUGCCAGCAUUAAGUUGGGCACUCUAGUGAGACUGCCGGUGACAAACCGGAGGAAGGUGGGGACGACGUCAAAUCAUCAUGCCCCUUAUGACCUGGGCUACACACGUGCUACAAUGGAUGGUACAACGAGUUGCGAGACCGCGAGGUUUAGCUAAUCUCUUAAAACCAUUCUCAGUUCGGAUUGUAGGCUGCAACUCGCCUACAUGAAGCCGGAAUCGCUAGUAAUCGCGGAUCAGCAUGCCGCGGUGAAUACGUUCCCGGGCCUUGUACACACCGCCCGUCACACCAUGAGAGUUUGUAACACCCAAAGCCGGUGAGGUAACCCUUCGGGGAGCCAGCCGUCUAAG